RNAcentral lists this ribosomal RNA (460 nucleotides) under uncultured bacterium. Its description in RNAcentral is "partial 16S ribosomal RNA". It matches the Rfam family "Bacterial small subunit ribosomal RNA", at positions 338 to 795 of the family's 1533-position model. The record is from RNAcentral.
CCUACGGGUGGCUGCAGUGAGGAAUAUUGGUCAAUGGGCGCGAGCCUGAACCAGCCAAGUAGCGUGAAGGAUGACUGCCCUACGGGUUGUAAACUUCUUUUGUAAGAGAGUAAAGUGAGGCACGUGUGCCUUUUUGUAUGUACUUUAUGAAUAAGGAUCGGCUAACUCCGUGCCAGCAGCCGCGGUAAUACGGAGGAUCCAAGCGUUAUCCGGAUUUAUUGGGUUUAAAGGGAGCGUAGAUGGGUGGUUAAGUCAGUUGUGAAAGCUUGAGGCUCAACCGUAAAAUUGCAAUUGAUACUGGCAGGCUAGAGUAUAGUUGAGGUAGGCGGAAUGCGUGGUGUAGCGGUGAAAUGCUUAGAUAUCAUGCAGAACUCCGAUUGCGAAGGCAGCUUACUAAACUGCCACUGACAUUGAUGCUCGAAAGCGUGGGUAUCAAACAGGAUUAGAUACCCUUGUAGUC